This 484-nucleotide ribosomal RNA is filed under the name uncultured bacterium. RNAcentral's name for it is "partial 16S ribosomal RNA". It matches the Rfam family "Bacterial small subunit ribosomal RNA", at positions 30 to 507 of the family's 1533-position model. The record is from RNAcentral.
AUUGAACGCUGGCGGCAGGCCUAACACAUGCAAGUCGAGCGGAUGAAGGGAGCUUGCUCCUGGAUUCAGCGGCGGACGGGUGAGUAAUGCCUAGGAAUCUGCCUGGUAGUGGGGGAUAACGUCCGGAAACGGGCGCUAAUACCGCAUACGUCCUGAGGGAGAAAGUGGGGGAUCUUCGGACCUCACGCUAUCAGAUGAGCCUAGGUCGGAUUAGCUAGUUGGUGGGGUAAAGGCCCACCAAGGCGACGAUCCGUAACUGGUCUGAGAGGAUGAUCAGUCACACUGGAACUGAGACACGGUCCAGACUCCUACAGGAGGCAGCAGUGGGGAAUAUUGGACAAUGGGCGAAAGCCUGAUCCAGCCAUGCCGCGUGUGUGAAGAAGGUCUUCGGAUUGUAAAGCACUUUAAGUUGGGAGGAAGGGCAGUAAGUUAAUACCUUGCUGUUUUGACGUUACCAACAGAAUAAGCACCGGCUAACUUCGUG